This 75-nucleotide transfer RNA is filed under the name Pseudomonadota bacterium. RNAcentral's name for it is "tRNA-Ile". It matches the Rfam family "tRNA". From Rfam's summary of the family: Transfer RNA (tRNA) molecules are approximately 80 nucleotides in length. Their secondary structure includes four short double-helical elements and three loops (D, anti-codon, and T loops). The record is from RNAcentral. RNAcentral also lists the same sequence under 2 other names. Lineage: Bacteria; Pseudomonadati; Pseudomonadota.
GGGUGCGUAGUUCACUGGUAGAACGCUUCUCUGAUAAAGAAGAGGUACAUGGUUCGAUUCCAUGCGCACCCACCA